CAUUUAUUUAAUAUUAAUGUCGAAACAACGUCGUUGGUCAAAGCAUUCCUCUUUCCCGUUUGCCAUUGAGAAUCGGCUGUAAUUUACUCCCGAGGAAUCGACACCAUCAUCAUGUGGUGGAGAAUCCUUUUGUCGAAUCUGAAAUUAAUCUCCGCCGUUGGCUCCUCCUUUGCGGCUGAGUCCACUCACCUUCCUCUCUCGACUCGUGCCUCCUCCAUUUCUGCUUAUUCCUCGCUUUUCGCUCGCCAAUUCGGCUCCGCUGCUGCGGAAACUGCUGUGAAGAAGAAGCGUGUGGAAGAUGUGAUGCAUAUUGCAACUGGCCACGAGAAAGAGGAACUCGAAGCCCAAUUCAUUCUUCUUGUUUGAUGAUGCUCAAAUGGAAGGAAGCUGCUCGGUGUAGACUUUCCCGAGGGUCCUUUUGGCACAAAGGUUACUACUGUCUUGGAUGAUGAAAUCAACAUGGGAUAGUGUUGGAGAUGGACUUAGCACAGGCCCAUUAAGAACUAAGCCCAAAAUCAGGUCCGGCCCGUUAAACAACAAUUGAUGAUUUCGCUAGAAGACAAAACGUACGUCACUAUAAAUAGAAGACGUCAGAUUCAUUGAAAGGACAUUCAGAAAAGUACAGAAAGUACAGAAAAUGAGAGCAUCGCCUCUACAUCACAGAUAAAGUCUCGGACGACCUCGACCACUAGACGAGCUCGGCCCAGACGACCUCAGACCAUAAAAUAGAAAGAUACUUGUUUAGACGAACUAUUUAGACGAGCAUCUUUAGUUCUUGUAAUUGACCGAACUUUUUUAUUCUUGACUAUUAAUACGAAAAUCUCCACCCCUUUACAUCA
This is an RNA transcript of Brassica napus (rape), 839 nucleotides long. RefSeq lists it as uncharacterized. Lineage: Eukaryota; Viridiplantae; Streptophyta; Magnoliopsida; Brassicales; Brassicaceae. The record is from RefSeq and is a predicted model, not a curated record. The transcript is spliced from 3 exons.